CCCUUUCUUUGUGUCCCUUCAGGGAGAGCUGGGCUUGCCAGGUCCACCUGGAAUGGAUGGUGAAAAGGGUCCUAAAGGAGCAAAGGGUGACCAGGGCAGCAUGGGGAUCAUGGGGCAAAAAGGAGAGACAGGAGAAAUGGGCUCAGCAGGUCCCCCGGGAGCAGAAGGGCCAAAAGGAGACAAGGGAGAAAAAGGAGACACUGGGUCACCCUGUCUGCAGAAUAAUCAUAUCAUACCUGAGCCUGGACCCCCCGGAUUACCUGGCCCUAUGGGUCCUCCAGGAAUCCAGGGACCUAAAGUAAGUCAAUAAAUUGAAUGUCACCCAGUUUCCCAGCUGCCAGUGCAUUAUUUACAGCCUCACAAAGGUCUGUCAGCUCUGAAGACUGAGUUUUUUGUCACUGUUGUCACAACAUAUCCCUUGGUUACACUGUUCAGCAGUUGGCAUUUUGGAAAACAAGCCAUUUUUCCUUCCAAGCAUUUACAAUCCAAACCCCUCCUCCAGGACAGAGUUCUGAGGGCUGGUGAGAGUCAGGGUUUCCAAACCAAAAGGCUUAUAACCUGCAUUUUCAGCUAUUUUCUUAUAUGAUGUGGUCAAGAGCAAGACAUCAACAGCAGUGUGUGGGUGUAAGCACCCCAGAGCAGGGGUGGGAGCUGGUGGGUGCAGGAGGGGCUGCCCUGGCCAGAGCUGCCAGGUCUCCUUUGCUCAUUUAUUUCAUUUCUGCAGGGUUUGGAUGGUGCAAAGGGAGAAAAAGGUGACAGUGGUGAGAAGGGGGACCAAGGUGACACCGGACCUGCUGUGAGUUGUUUUCCCAAAUCUCAUUUCUGGCUGUUGACAGAAACCUGUCUCACAGGAAACAAUCCUAAUGCUUUGUUUCUUUUUAAUUUAAGGGUCUCCCGGGUGCUCCAGGGCUCAUUGGUUUACCUGGUACCAAAGGAGAAAAGGUAAUCAUGGGUGUGGGAGAGGAGCAGGGACAUUUGGGUGCAAUCCUAAAAUAGGGGCUGUAAAAUCCUGCUGUG
RNAcentral lists this long non-coding RNA (1017 nucleotides) under Cyanistes caeruleus (blue tit). RNAcentral's name for it is "lncRNA (ENSCCEG00000010812.1)". The record is from RNAcentral. Lineage: Eukaryota; Metazoa; Chordata; Aves; Passeriformes; Paridae.